This is an RNA transcript of Tripterygium wilfordii, 1458 nucleotides long. It is a transcript of the gene named octanoyltransferase LIP2, mitochondrial-like, with no coding region annotated. The transcript is spliced from 5 exons. NCBI's taxonomy places the organism in Eukaryota, Viridiplantae, Streptophyta, Magnoliopsida, Celastrales, Celastraceae. The record is from RefSeq and is a predicted model, not a curated record.
AUUCUAACAACUUAAUAGGAAUUUAUUAAACUUAAAACAUGUUUAUUAGUCCGAGUCCACAACGGAGGCGUGUGACGGAUUUGCUCGAGAAUCGAGAAUCGAGACUCGAGCUAAUAAUAUGAUUUUUCCUGAUUUACGUACCUGAGAUUCUGGGGAGCUUCUGUCUAGGCAUGGUGGUUUCUCGAAGUUUAGAGGUCUGGAAAUUGGGCACUGUUAACUACUUAAAAGCUCUUAAGCUGCGAGAGAAGUUUUCCUCUGAUAGGAAAGUUAAUAAGAUUUCAGAUACUCUCUUGUCCCUGCAACAUCCCCCGACGUAUACAGUUGGCAAUCGGAGGACAGUUCACAAUUUACUGAUUCCUGAAUCUGAGCUGAGGAAUAUAGGAGCUAAACUUCACUACACACGAAGAGGAGGAGACAUUACUUUCCAUGGUCCACAUCAAGCCAUCUUGUAUCCCAUUAUUUCUCUUCGAGAUAUCAGACUUGGUCUUCGGGAUUAUGUUGGGAAACUUGAGUUAACCAUGGUUGAAUUGGCGUCUUUGUAUGGGGUGAAGGCUUGUGCUGGAGAGAGUGGUGAAAUGGGAGUUUGGGUGGAAGAUAGAAAGAUCGGCGCUACUGGAGUUUGUUUCUCACAUGGGAUCACUUCUCACGGAUUGGCAUUCAACAUUGAUCCUGAUAUGAACUAUUUUAAGAACAUUGUGCCUUGUGGGAUUAUGGAUAAGGAAGUUACAUCUUUGAGAAGGGAGACCAGUAUUUUGCUUCCUGCUGACGAAGUAAUUCAUGAGCAGUUGAUUACUUGUUUUGCUAGAGUAUUGGGUUAUACUGAUAUUACUUGGAAGGAGAAUCCUUUGACAUUGUCAGACAAUGCAGAAGUUGAACAAGAUAUGAAUUCUUCAGCAUCAUAAAGGAUGUGAAUUGCUGAAUGAAAUGUGACACUAUAUGCCAGCUACAAAAUAAAUACUGCGAUGGACUCGAUUGGGCUAAACUCCAAUAACUUUAGAUUCAGGAUCAGAGAUUUCAAUGAGUAAAAAUCUCAGUGAUUUUUCCACAACGAAAGAAUCCCCAACCAAGUAAUGCUGAUGUCCUGUUAUCUAUACUCGUGAAUAGAAGUUGAUGACCACAUGAGACUCAUGGAGAUGAUUCAGUAGAUUAUAUCUUCCACUUCAACUGCUUUGAGGAUUGAAGCUAUUUAUGUUGAAUGUUGCAACAGAAGAUAGGAUCUGUCCACACAUUUACAGCAAAGUCAAAAAGGUAUGGGUUGUAAGUCUUGGAAUCUCCCUUAUCAACAUCCCCUAAAGUGGAAGUAUACAGAAAUUAUACGGAGUUGGUAGUUGUUACCCAUUACAUAAAAUUUUCCAGCUAAGUGUGAAUGUGCAUACACAUUUGUCAAACGAUUUGAGUCCAGAUUUGUGGUCCUUACUGCAUAAAAAUAGCGAAUUUUUCUUGCUUGUGUUAUCGUGA